CCUUCCAAAAACAUCGCCUCCUGCAACCACAUUGAAUAUAGGAGGUCCAGCCUGCCCAGUGACUACGGGUUCAACGGCCGCGGUAUUUUGACCGUGCAAAGGUAGCGCAAUCACUUGUCUCUUAAAUAGAGACCUGUAUGAACGGCUAGACGAGGGCUUAACUGUCUCCCCCUUCCAGUCAGUGAAAUUGAUCUAUCCGUGCAGAAGCGGGUAUAAUUAUACAAGACGAGAAGACCCUUUGGAGCUUAAGGUACAAGAUUCAACCACGUUAAACGACUCUACAAGAAGCACGAACUUAGUGGUAAGUGAAAUUUUACCUUCGGUUGGGGCGACCACGGAGGAAAAAGAAGCCUCCGAGUGGACUGGGCCAAAUCCCUAAAGCCAAUAGAUACAUCUAUAAGCCGCAGAACAUCUGACCAAAAAUGAUCCGACUGAAAAGCCGAUCAACGAACCAAGUUACCCUAGGGAUAACAGCGCAAUCCUCUCCCAGAGUCCAUAUCGACGAGGGGGUUUACGACCUCGAUGUUGGAUCAGGACAUCCUAAUGGUGCAGCCGCUAUUAAGGGUUCGUUUGUUCAACGAUUAAAGUCCUAC
This 593-nucleotide ribosomal RNA is filed under the name Chondrostoma sp. AT2859. RNAcentral's name for it is "partial 16S ribosomal RNA". It matches the Rfam family "Bacterial large subunit ribosomal RNA", at positions 1803 to 2599 of the family's 2925-position model. The record is from RNAcentral. Lineage: Eukaryota; Metazoa; Chordata; Actinopteri; Cypriniformes; Leuciscidae.